GGGCACUGCACCCAGACCACUCCAUGGGGAUAAAGUGGUCUGGGUGCAUAUAUUGCACUUUUAAUUUAGAGAACCCUGGAAUUCCAUCAAAUAUGCCCUUCAAGUACGCUCCAAAGGAUAAUUUUGCCAUCUUAGUGUGGCAUGGCAUUAAUGGACAUGCACAGGUAGGUAGCAGGUAGGUAUUCUGUUCUUUGUUUGCACCGG
Non-coding RNA from Pelobates cultripes (western spadefoot toad), 204 nucleotides. NCBI's taxonomy places the organism in Eukaryota, Metazoa, Chordata, Amphibia, Anura, Pelobatidae. The record is from the annotation of a GenBank genome assembly.